Molecule: microRNA precursor, 113 nt
Filed under: Medicago truncatula (barrel medic)
Lineage: Eukaryota; Viridiplantae; Streptophyta; Magnoliopsida; Fabales; Fabaceae
Description: miR2607 stem-loop (mtr-MIR2607)
Source: miRBase by way of RNAcentral
CACAUGCAUAUAAGGAGUCUAAGAGCAUUGUCACAUUGUCAUGAUUAAGAUGCCUUGUUGAUAAUGAUUGAAUAUGUGAUUAUGUGAUAAGUGUUUAUUGAUUAUGUUAUGUU